This is a non-coding RNA of Vicia faba (fava bean), 351 nucleotides long. Lineage: Eukaryota; Viridiplantae; Streptophyta; Magnoliopsida; Fabales; Fabaceae. The record is from the annotation of a GenBank genome assembly.
AUGCACCCUAGCCCUGAACAGGGUCCAAAAAGACGAGGUUCCCAAGCUAAGGAGGAACUACAUCAUCCUCGUCCACCAACUUGCCACCACAAUUUUUUUCCGAAAGUUCAGGGGGCGCAAAUCCAGAUCAGGGUAGAAGAAGAGGACAUGCUGCUUAGCACACUCGAAGUAAACACUAGAAGUAGAUAUCGCCUCGUUGAUAAGCUAUGGCACCUCUUUUUACAACUCCUUAUGACAAAGGAGAGUAGCACCCACGGGCUCUUGCAAAGAUGCCUUAUCAGUAGAUAUUUCUUACGCCUUGCCUUUUACAUCUACCAUUUUCUCAUCCCACUUUUCCUUAUCUUUCUAUAG